AUUGAACGCUAGCGGGAUGCCUUACACAUGCAAGUCGAACGGCAGCACGGACUUCGGUCUGGUGGCGAGUGGCGAACGGGUGAGUAAUGUAUCGGAACGUGCCCAGUAGCGGGGGAUAACUACUCGAAAGAGUAGCUAAUACCGCAUACGCCCUACGGGGGAAAGGGGGGGAUCGCAAGACCUCUCACUAUUGGAGCGGCCGAUAUCGGAUUAGCGAGUUGGUGGGGUAAAGGCCCACCAAGGCGACGAUCCGUAGCUGGUUUGAGAGGACGACCAGCCACACUGGGACUGAGACACGGCCCAGACUCCUGCGGGAGGCAGCAGUGGGGAAUUUUGGACAAUGGGGGCAACCCUGUUCCAGCCAUCCCGCGUGUGCGAUGAAGGCCUUCGGGUUGUAAAGCACUUUUGGCAGGAAAGAAAUCGCACGGGCUAAUACCUCGUGUGGAUGACGGUACCUGCAGAAUAAGCACCGGCUAACUACGUGCCAGCCGCCGCGGUAA
RNAcentral lists this ribosomal RNA (500 nucleotides) under uncultured bacterium. Its description in RNAcentral is "partial 16S ribosomal RNA". It matches the Rfam family "Bacterial small subunit ribosomal RNA", at positions 30 to 523 of the family's 1533-position model. The record is from RNAcentral.